AUUGAACGCUGGCGGCAUGCCUAACACAUGCAAGUCGAACGGUAACAGGAAGAAGCUUGCUUCUUUGCUGACGAGUGGCGGACGGGUGAGUAAUGUCUGGGAAACUGCCUGAUGGAGGGGGACAACUACUGGAAACGGUAGCUAAUACCGCAUAACUUCGCAAGCCCAAAGAGGGGGACCUUCGGGCCUCUUGCCAUCGGAUGUGCCCAGAUGGGAUUAGCUAGUAGGUGGGGUAACGGCUCACCUAGGCGACGAUCCCUAGCUGGUCUGAGAGGAUGACCAGCCACACUGGAACUGAGACACGGUCCAGACUCCUACGGGAGGCAGCAGUGGGGAAUCUUGCACAAUGGGCGCAAGCCUGAUGCAGCCAUGCCGCGUGUAUGAAGAAGGCCUUCGGGUUGUAAAGUACUUUCAGCGGGGAGGAAGGGAGUAAAGUUAAUACCUUUGCUCAUUGACGUUACCCGCAGAAGAAGCACCGGCUAACUCCGUG
This 490-nucleotide ribosomal RNA is filed under the name uncultured bacterium. RNAcentral describes it as "partial 16S ribosomal RNA". It matches the Rfam family "Bacterial small subunit ribosomal RNA", at positions 30 to 507 of the family's 1533-position model. The record is from RNAcentral.